GAUGAACGCUGGCGGCGUGCCUAAUACAUGCAAGUCGAGCGAACAGACGAGGAGCUUGCUCCUCUGACGUUAGCGGCGGACGGGUGAGUAACACGUGGAUAACCUACCUAUAAGACUGGGAUAACUUCGGGAAACCGGAGCUAAUACCGGAUAAUAUAUUGAACCGCAUGGUUCAAUAGUGAAAGACGGUUUUGCUUUCACUUAUAGAUGGAUCCGCGCCGCAUUAGCUAGUUGGUAAGGUAACGGCUUACCAAGGCAACGAUGCGUAGCCGACCUGAGAGGGUGAUCGGCCACACUGGAACUGAGACAAGGUCCAGACUCCUACGGGAGGCAGCAGUAGGGAAUCUUCCGCAAUGGGCGAAAGCCUGAAGGAGCAACGCCGCGUGAGUGAUGAAGGUCUUCGGAUCGUAAAACUCUGUUAUUAGGGAAGAACAAAUGUGUAAGUAACUAUGCACGUCUUGACGGUACCUAAUCAGAAAGCCACGGCUAACUACGUG
Molecule: ribosomal RNA, 497 nt
Filed under: uncultured bacterium
Lineage: Bacteria
Description: partial 16S ribosomal RNA
Rfam family: Bacterial small subunit ribosomal RNA
Source: RNAcentral